RNAcentral lists this ribosomal RNA (512 nucleotides) under uncultured Chlorobiota bacterium. RNAcentral's name for it is "bacterial SSU rRNA". It matches the Rfam family "Bacterial small subunit ribosomal RNA", at positions 360 to 872 of the family's 1533-position model. The record is from RNAcentral. Lineage: Bacteria; Pseudomonadati; Chlorobiota.
AAUAUUGGGCAAUGCCCGAAAGGGUGACCCAGCAACGCCGCGUGGAGGAUGAAGGUCGUAAGAUUGUAAACUCCUGUUAGAGGGGACGAAUAUCACCGAUCGACUCGGUGUUUGACUGUACCCUCAGAGAAAGCCCCGGCUAACUACGUGCCAGCAGCCGCGGUAAUAGGUAGGGGGCAAGCGUUGUCCGGAUUCACUGGGUGUAAAGGGCGCGCGGGCGGGUUAACAAGUCAGAGGUGAAAUCCUACAGCUUAACUGUAGAACUGCCUUUGAAACUGUUAAUCUUGAGUGCGGAAGAGAGAGACGGAAUUCCAGGUGUAGCGGUGAAAUGCGUAGAUAUCUGGAAGAACACCAGUUGGGAAGGCGGUCUCUUGGUCCGUUACUGACGCUCAGGCGAGAAAGCGUGGGGAGCAAACAGGAUUAGAUACCCUGGUAGUCCACGCCCUAAACGUUNNAUACUAGGUGUUGGUGCUUUUGCAUCAGUGCCGCAGCUAACGCAUUAAGUAUUCCAC